UAGGAUUUGAUUUAGAAUUAGGAUUUGGUUAGGAUUUGAUUAAAGAUUUAGGAUUUGAUUAGAGUUUGAUUUAGGGUUUGGAAUUGAUUUAGGAUUAGGAUUUUGUUAGGAGUUAUUUUAGAGUUUAAAAUUUGGUUAGGAUUUGAUUUAGGAUUUAAAGUUUUAUUAGGAUUUAUUUAGGAUUUAAGAUAUAAUUAAUUUUUGGCCUAAAGUUUGAAUGAAGUCCAAUAGGAUUUUAAUUAGAAUUAAAUUAAGAUUGAAUUGAAAUAUAUUUGAAAUAUAUUUGUGAUCAUUUAAAUAUUUCUUUAAGAUUUCUUAUUAUUUCUUUGUAAUUCUUUUGAGGUUUCUUUGAAUUUGAUUAAAACUUACUUAGCAUUGUUAUAGUAUAAUUAAACUUUAUUUAGUAUUCUAUUAGAGUUAGGAUUUUUUUGUUAUAAUUU
RNAcentral lists this long non-coding RNA (440 nucleotides) under Physcomitrium patens. RNAcentral describes it as "long non-coding RNA (PPAT_LNC012377)". Lineage: Eukaryota; Viridiplantae; Streptophyta; Bryopsida; Funariales; Funariaceae. The record is from RNAcentral.